CCUACGGGAGGCUGCAGUGGGGAAUAUUGGACAAUGGGCGAAAGCCUGAUCCAGCCAUGCCGCGUGUGUGAAGAAGGCCUUCGGGUUGUAAAGCACUUUCAGUGGGGAAGAAAGCCUGGGGGCUAAUACCCUCGAGGAAGGACAUCACCCACAGAAGAAGCACCGGCUAACUCCGUGCCAGCAGCCGCGGUAAUACGGAGGGUGCGAGCGUUAAUCGGAAUUACUGGGCGUAAAGCGCGCGUAGGCGGUCUGAUAAGCCGGUUGUGAAAGCCCCGGGCUCAACCUGGGAACGGCAUCCGGAACUGUCAGGCUAGAGUGCAGGAGAGGAAGGUAGAAUUCCCGGUGUAGCGGUGAAAUGCGUAGAGAUCGGGAGGAAUACCAGUGGCGAAGGCGGCCUUCUGGACUGACACUGACGCUGAGGUGCGAAAGCGUGGGUAGCAAACAGGAUUAGAUACCCCAGAGUC
This 464-nucleotide ribosomal RNA is filed under the name Vreelandella stevensii. RNAcentral's name for it is "partial 16S ribosomal RNA". It matches the Rfam family "Bacterial small subunit ribosomal RNA", at positions 338 to 795 of the family's 1533-position model. The record is from RNAcentral. Lineage: Bacteria; Pseudomonadati; Pseudomonadota; Gammaproteobacteria; Oceanospirillales; Halomonadaceae.